AGAGUUUGAUCAUGGCUCAGAUUGAACGCUGGCGGCAGGCCUAACACAUGCAAGUCGAGCGGUAGCACAGAGAGCUUGCUCUCGGGUGACGAGCGGCGGACGGGUGAGUAAUGUCUGGGAAACUGCCUGAUGGAGGGGGAUAACUACUGGAAACGGUAGCUAAUACCGCAUAACGUCGCAAGACCAAAGUGGGGGACCUUCGGGCCUCAUGCCAUCAGAUGUGCCCAGAUGGGAUUAGCUAGUAGGUGGGGUAACGGCUCACCUAGGCGACGAUCCCUAGCUGGUCUGAGAGGAUGACCAGCCACACUGGAACUGAGACACGGUCCAGACUCCUACGGGAGGCAGCAGUGGGGAAUAUUGCACAAUGGGCGCAAGCCUGAUGCAGCCAUGCCGCGUGUGUGAAGAAGGCCUUCGGGUUGUAAAGCACUUUCAGCGGGGAGGAAGGCGAUAAGGUUAAUAACCUUGUCGAUUGACGUUACCCGCAGAAGAAGCACCGGCUAACUCCGUGCCAGCAGCCGCGGUAAUACGGAGGGUGCAAGCGUUAAUCGGAAUUACUGGGCGUAAAGCGCACGCAGGCGGUCUGUCAAGUCGGAUGUGAAAUCCCCGGGCUCAACCUGGGAACUGCAUUCGAAACUGGCAGGCUAGAGUCUUGUAGAGGGGGGUAGAAUUCCAGGUGUAGCGGUGAAAUGCGUAGAGAUCUGGAGGAAUACCGGUGGCGAAGGCGGCCCCCUGGACAAAGACUGACGCUCAGGUGCGAAAGCGUGGGGAGCAAACAGGAUUAGAUACCCUGGUAGUCCACGCCGUAAACGAUGUCGAUUUGGAGGUUGUGCCCUUGAGGCGUGGCUUCCGGAGCUAACGCGUUAAAUCGACCGCCUGGGGAGUACGGCCGCAAGGUUAAAACUCAAAUGAAUUGACGGGGGCCCGCACAAGCGGUGGAGCAUGUGGUUUAAUUCGAUGCAACGCGAAGAACCUUACCUGGUCUUGACAUCCACAGAACUUAGCAGAGAUGCUUUGGUGCCUUCGGGAACUGUGAGACAGGUGCUGCAUGGCUGUCGUCAGCUCGUGUUGUGAAAUGUUGGGUUAAGUCCCGCAACGAGCGCAACCCUUAUCCUUUGUUGCCAGCGGUCCGGCCGGGAACUCAAAGGAGACUGCCAGUGAUAAACUGGAGGAAGGUGGGGAUGACGUCAAGUCAUCAUGGCCCUUACGACCAGGGCUACACACGUGCUACAAUGGCAUAUACAAAGAGAAGCGACCUCGCGAGAGCAAGCGGACCUCAUAAAGUAUGUCGUAGUCCGGAUUGGAGUCUGCAACUCGACUCCAUGAAGUCGGAAUCGCUAGUAAUCGUAGAUCAGAAUGCUACGGUGAAUACGUUCCCGGGCCUUGUACACACCGCCCGUCACACCAUGGGAGUGGGUUGCAAAAGAAGUAGGUAGCUUAACCUUCGGGAGGGCGCUUA
RNAcentral lists this ribosomal RNA (1456 nucleotides) under Klebsiella pneumoniae. Its description in RNAcentral is "bacterial SSU rRNA". It matches the Rfam family "Bacterial small subunit ribosomal RNA". The record is from RNAcentral. Lineage: Bacteria; Pseudomonadati; Pseudomonadota; Gammaproteobacteria; Enterobacterales; Enterobacteriaceae.